Long non-coding RNA from Anas platyrhynchos (mallard), 813 nucleotides. RefSeq lists it as uncharacterized. Lineage: Eukaryota; Metazoa; Chordata; Aves; Anseriformes; Anatidae. The record is from RefSeq and is a predicted model, not a curated record.
UGUAAGCAUGCUAGUUCAUAGGAAAACAGCCCCUGGGACAGCUGUGAAAUUGUUAAAUCACCAGCCCUGCACAGCCCCAACAUCCCACGGCUGCAGGACGGAGCCUCCACUACCAGCACCUGCGUUCAAGGACUUGACGUCGUCCUCAGAAGCCUUCAGACAACACUCGGACACAAAACUUGUUUGGAACAUCCCUGAGAGGACCAGCACUUCACUGGAAAAUGAAGCGGCGAUAGGCUAAGGUAGAUAAAAACACGGAGCUACGUCAGUAAGGCUCACACCCAUCCAGAGUACGGGGCACAGAAGGAGCAGCUCCAGCGGGAGCUCCAGAACUUUGCAUCGCAAUCAAAGGCUUCCCUGUGGCUCACAGCACACCUGGCUGCAUGCCUAUGGCUUGACUGGAUGCUGGAUUUUCACCAGAAAACGCCUUUUGCCUGCAUACAAGCGUGCUGUGUGUGGCUUUUAGAUCCAACAGCGGCCAGUUCCCAUCGCAGCCCCUGUGUGGCAUCAGGGGAAGAGCAACGAGUCCCUGAGGGACUGACGGCCAAGCAGAGGGCACGGAGGGGCCGCAGCCGGGAGCGCGGCGCAGAGCGCGGAGGGCUUGUGGCGAAAAUAAACCGAAAAAUGGUCAAAUACAGCACGGCGAGAGCCGCACGGAUCCUGAGGCGUCAGGACGGUGAAACCCAGAGGGGGAAAAGCCCUGAAACGCCAGCGCCGCCCGCAGCACGGCCGUGACGGGGAAACGCCACAGAGAGCGGCAGAGCACCCCGACACCCCCCGGUACCCCCCGUCCCCGCCGUACCUCCAGGCCGG